RNAcentral lists this ribosomal RNA (429 nucleotides) under Acidobacteriota bacterium. RNAcentral describes it as "Acidobacteria bacterium partial 16S ribosomal RNA". It matches the Rfam family "Bacterial small subunit ribosomal RNA", at positions 355 to 776 of the family's 1533-position model. Lineage: Bacteria; Pseudomonadati; Acidobacteriota. The record is from RNAcentral.
UGGGGAAGUUUGGACAAUGGGGGAAACCCUGAUCCAGCCAUCCCGCGUGUGCGAUGAAGGCCUUCGGGUUGUAAAGCACUUUUGGCAGGAAAGAAACGUCAUGGGUUAAUACCCCGUGAAACUGACGGUACCUGCAGAAUAAGCACCGGCUAACUACGUGCCAGCAGCCGCGGUAAUACGUAGGGUGCAAGCGUUAAUCGGAAUUACUGGGCGUAAAGCGUGCGCAGGCGGUUCGGAAAGAAAGAUGUGAAAUCCCAGAGCUCAACUUGGGAACUGCAUUUUUAACUACCGGGCUAGAGUGUGUCAGAGGGAGGUGGAAUUCCGCGUGUAGCAGUGAAAUGCGUAGAUAUGCGGCGGAACACCGAUGGCGAAUGCAGCCUCCUGGGAUAACACUGACGCUCAUGCACGAAAGCGUGGGGAGCAAACAGG